GACUCUCGGCAACGGAUAUCUCGGCUCUUGCGUCGAUGAAGAACGUAGCGAAAUGCGAUACUUGGUGUUAAUUGCAGAAUCCCGUGAACCAUCGAGUCUUUGAACGCAAGUUGCGCCCGAAGCAACUAGGCCGAGGGCACGCCUGCUUGGGUGUCA
RNAcentral lists this ribosomal RNA (156 nucleotides) under Vigna angularis (adzuki bean). RNAcentral describes it as "rRNA 5_8S_rRNA". It matches the Rfam family "5.8S ribosomal RNA". From Rfam's summary of the family: 5.8S ribosomal RNA (5.8S rRNA) is a component of the large subunit of the eukaryotic ribosome. It is transcribed by RNA polymerase I as part of the 45S precursor that also contains 18S and 28S rRNA. The record is from Rfam by way of RNAcentral. Lineage: Eukaryota; Viridiplantae; Streptophyta; Magnoliopsida; Fabales; Fabaceae.